RNAcentral lists this ribosomal RNA (274 nucleotides) under uncultured bacterium. RNAcentral's name for it is "partial 16S ribosomal RNA". It matches the Rfam family "Bacterial small subunit ribosomal RNA", at positions 523 to 796 of the family's 1533-position model. The record is from RNAcentral.
AUACGGAGGGUGCGAGCGUUAAUCGGAAUUACUGGGCGUAAAGCGUGCGUAGGCGGUUGAUUUAGUCAGAUGUGAAAGCCCCGGGCUCAACCUGGGAACUGCAUUUGAAACUGGUCAACUGGAGUAUGGUAGAGGGGGGUAGAAUUUCUGGUGUAGCGGUGAAAUGCGUAGAUAUCAGAAGGAAUACCGAUGGCGAAGGCAGCCCCCUGGACCAAUACUGACGCUGAGGUGCGAAAGCGUGGGGAGCAAACAGGAUUAGAAACCCCGGUAGUCC